GAUGAACGCUGGCGGCGUGCUUAACACAUGCAAGUCGAACGGACUUAUCUUAUGAAGCUUGCUUCGCGGGAUAAGUUAGUGGCGGACGGGUGAGUAACGCGUGGGUAACCUGCCGUAUGCUGGGGGACAACAGUUGGAAACGACUGCUAAUACCGCAUAAGCACACAGUAUCGCAUGAUACAGUGUGAAAAACUCCGGUGGCAUACGAUGGACCCGCGUCUGAUUAGCUAGUUGGUGAGGUAACGGCUCACCAAGGCGACGAUCAGUAGCCGGCCUGAGAGGGUGAACGGCCACAUUGGGACUGAGACACGGCCCAAACUCCUACGGGAGGCAGCAGUGGGGAAUAUUGCACAAUGGGGGAAACCCUGAUGCAGCGACGCCGCGUGAGUGAAGAAGUAUUCCGGUAUGUAAAGCUCUAUCAGCAAGGAAGAAAAUGACGGUACUUGACUAAGAAGCCCCGGCUAACUACGUG
RNAcentral lists this ribosomal RNA (472 nucleotides) under uncultured bacterium. RNAcentral's name for it is "bacterial SSU rRNA". It matches the Rfam family "Bacterial small subunit ribosomal RNA", at positions 28 to 507 of the family's 1533-position model. The record is from RNAcentral.